CCUUGAAACUGGAUACAAGUGUCUAGUACCCGUAAAAAGAAGCUGAGCAAGUCAAAUCUUCUAUUUUAAGUGAAGGAUUCUUACAGAUUUCUUGGAUAUAUUGAAAGACUGCAUCAGAAUUCAGCUUGUGUCUGUGCCAGCAACUGUGCAGAUUCAUGGCAGCAUCCAUACCGUAGUACUGCCUGUGCACUGAGGCAUGCAGCUUCUUGGUCUCCCUCUGGAUACUGAGGAGAUCGAGCUGUUUUUCAUCCAUUUCCCUUCUUUCAUGUGUCUGACUUGAACCAUUUUGAGUUUGUCGAUCAUCAGAGAAGGCUCCCUGUGGUGUGCUAGCCCUGAUCUCCCUUCAUACUCAAAGGAAGGCAGAGGUUGUAAUGAUGAACAAUUCCCUGGGGUGGUUGCACGAGGGCUGGAGGUUACAGUGCAGGCUCAGCCACAACCUGUUCGUAAUCCUUCCUGUGUGAUGCAGGGGAACCUCUUUGAAGAGAGAAGAGAGAUGGAGAUUUAGGAGAAAAAAGUUCCUGUGAAGUAUUUGCCUGUGCCAGCUUCUGCCUAGUAAGGUAUGCAGGAAAAUCUAUAGCUUUAAUGAUAUCAGAAUUUUGCUUUUAUUCUAACUGAUGAUAACCUGAUAUGAAAUCUUAUCAUGCAGACAUAUGACUAAAUAGCUAUAGAUAAAAGCACAUUUCAACAUUUUGAAAGUAAGAAUGAGUCUUUUGAUUUGACUUUAAAGAAAUCAAUUAAAAGUGCAAAAAAUGGAGUGUUAACUCUAAAAUGGCAAAAGAAAAACUGAAGCGUUAAAGAUCCAAGUUUCUGAUAUAUAAAAAAUUCACACUUGCUUAAUUUUGCAAUAUAAUAGCAACACAAUUUAAAUUAAGGCAUUUUGAUAAGUAUAACCUGAGGUUAUGUUGAAAUGGAUUUUAAAAUGAGUUGGCUUCCUGUUGUAAUCUUGUUUGAUGUCAUUAAACAUUAUUGUUUAUGUUGAUUAACAUCAAUUAAAUAUUGAUGUGAGAUGGAGGAGUGUUUUCUUUGGAUGUUAUCUCUACUGGUACACUCACUGGUCAAGUAGGAAGUAGCAGAGUUUGAGAAUGUCUUUUGAAAAGACUGCAGAAGCAAUGAAGCCUGGCCCAUAGCUCUUUCACACUUUGCAUUUCUAAAAACAUGUUUUCC
This 1164-nucleotide long non-coding RNA is filed under the name Anas platyrhynchos platyrhynchos (common mallard). RNAcentral describes it as "lncRNA (ENSAPLG00000023505.1)". Lineage: Eukaryota; Metazoa; Chordata; Aves; Anseriformes; Anatidae. The record is from RNAcentral.